CCUACGGGAGGCAGCAGUGGGGGAUAUUGCACAAUGGGGGGAACCCUGAUGCAGCGACGCCGCGUGGGUGAAGGAGCGUUUCGGCGCGUUAAGCCCUAUCGGCAGGGAAGAAGGAGGACGGUACCUGACUAAGAAGCCCCGGCUAACUACGUGCCAGCCGCCGCGGUAAUACGGAGGGGGCAAGCGUAAUCCGGAUUUACUGGGGGUAAAGGGGGCACAGGGGGUUGCGCAAGCCAGGAGUGAAAGCCCGGGGCCCAACCCCGGGACUGAUCUUGGAACUGCGCGGCGGGAGUGCAGGAGGGGGAGGCGGAAUUCCUGGUGUAGCGGUGAAAUGCGUAGAGAUCAGGAGGAACACCGGUGGCGAAGGCGGCCUGCUGGACUGCGACUGACGUUGAGGCCCGAAAGCGUGGGGAGCAAACAGGAUUAGAUACCCCAGUAGUC
RNAcentral lists this ribosomal RNA (441 nucleotides) under uncultured bacterium. RNAcentral describes it as "partial 16S ribosomal RNA". It matches the Rfam family "Bacterial small subunit ribosomal RNA", at positions 338 to 795 of the family's 1533-position model. The record is from RNAcentral.